RNAcentral lists this long non-coding RNA (199 nucleotides) under Lathyrus oleraceus (garden pea). Its description in RNAcentral is "Pisum sativum (pea) long non-coding RNA (PSAT_LNC008777)". Lineage: Eukaryota; Viridiplantae; Streptophyta; Magnoliopsida; Fabales; Fabaceae. The record is from RNAcentral.
AUAAAAGCACGGUGGAGACUCUUGUUAUUUGAUCUCUAGCUUAUCCAUAGCUUGAUGAUCAUGAAUUUACCGCUACCGAAAUUAAGUGGCGACUCUACUGUGGAGUAGUCUCUAGUGGGUUUAGCCUACUUUUUAUGUGUAUAUAUUUGUAUAUAUGUGACGUUUGUAUAUAUGUAUGUGUGAUAUAAUCUGCUUGUUG